Molecule: ribosomal RNA, 387 nt
Filed under: uncultured bacterium
Lineage: Bacteria
Description: bacterial SSU rRNA
Rfam family: Bacterial small subunit ribosomal RNA
Source: RNAcentral
AUUGAACGCUGGCGGCAUGCCUUACACAUGCAAGUCGAACGGUAACAGGUUAAGCUGACGAGUGGCGAACGGGUGAGUAAUGUAUCGGAACGUGCCCAGUCGUGGGGGAUAACUGCUCGAAAGAGCAGCUAAUACCGCAUACGACCUGAGGGUGAAAGCGGGGGAUCGCAAGACCUCGCGCGAUUGGAGCGGCCGAUAUCAGAUUAGGUAGUUGGUGGGGUAAAAGCCUACCAAGCCAACGAUCUGUAGCUGGUCUGAGAGGACGACCAGCCACACUGGGACUGAGACACGGCCCAGACUCCUACGGGAGGCAGCAGUGGGGAAUUUUGGACAAUGGGCGCAAGCCUGAUCCAGCCAUGCCGCGUGCGGGAAGAAGGGCCCUUCGGG